ACGCUGGGCGCAGGCCUAACACAUGCAAGUCGAGCGGUAACAGAAAGUAGCUUGCUACUUUGCUGACGAGCGGCGGACGGGUGAGUAAUGCCUGGGAAUAUGCCUUGAUGUGGGGGAUAACUAUUGGAAACGAUAGCUAAUACCGCAUAAUGUCUUCGGACCAAAGAGGGGGAUCUUCGGACCUCUCGCGUCAAGAUUAGCCCAGGUGAGAUUAGCUAGUUGGUGGGGUAAGAGCUCACCAAGGCGACGAUCUCUAGCUGGUCUGAGAGGAUGAUCAGCCACACUGGAACUGAGACACGGUCCAGACUCCUACGGGAGGCAGCAGUGGGGAAUAUUGCACAAUGGGCGAAAGCCUGAUGCAGCCAUGCCGCGUGUAUGAAGAAGGCCUUCGGGUUGUAAAGUACUUUCAGUCGUGAGGAAGGGUGUGCAGUUAAUAGCUYUACAUCUUGACGUUAGCGACAGAAGAAGCACCGGCUAACUCCGUGCCAGCAGCCGCGGUAAUACGGAGGGUGCGAGCGUUAAUCGGAAUUACUGGGCGUAAAGCGCAUGCAGGUGGUUCAUUAAGUCAGAUGUGAAAGCCCGGGGCUCAACCUCGGAACCGCAUUUGAAACUGGUGAACUAGAGUGCUGUAGAGGGGGGUAGAAUUUCAGGUGUAGCGGUGAAAUGCGUAGAGAUCUGAAGGAAUACCAGUGGCGAAGGCGGCCCCCUGGACA
Molecule: ribosomal RNA, 713 nt
Filed under: Vibrio sp. 7G02
Lineage: Bacteria; Pseudomonadati; Pseudomonadota; Gammaproteobacteria; Vibrionales; Vibrionaceae
Description: bacterial SSU rRNA
Rfam family: Bacterial small subunit ribosomal RNA
Source: RNAcentral